GCAUUGGUGGUUCAGUGAUAGAAUUCUUGCCUUCCAUGCAGGAGACCCAGGUGCAGUCCCUGACCAGUGCA
Molecule: transfer RNA, 71 nt
Filed under: Loxodonta africana (African savanna elephant)
Lineage: Eukaryota; Metazoa; Chordata; Mammalia; Proboscidea; Elephantidae
Rfam family: tRNA
About the family: Transfer RNA (tRNA) molecules are approximately 80 nucleotides in length. Their secondary structure includes four short double-helical elements and three loops (D, anti-codon, and T loops).
Source: Rfam by way of RNAcentral